This 468-nucleotide ribosomal RNA is filed under the name uncultured bacterium. Its description in RNAcentral is "partial 16S ribosomal RNA". It matches the Rfam family "Bacterial small subunit ribosomal RNA", at positions 28 to 507 of the family's 1533-position model. The record is from RNAcentral.
GACGAACGCUGGCGGCGUGCUUAACACAUGCAAGUCGAACGGAAAGGCCCUGCUUUUGUGGGGUGCUCGAGUGGCGAACGGGUGAGUAACACGUGAGUAACCUGCCCUUGACUUUGGGAUAACUUCAGGAAACUGGGGCUAAUACCGGAUAGGAGCUCCUGCUGCAUGGUGGGGGUUGGAAAGUUUCGGCGGUUGGGGAUGGACUCGCGGCUUAUCAGCUUGUUGGUGGGGUAGUGGCUUACCAAGGCUUUGACGGGUAGCCGGCCUGAGAGGGUGACCGGCCACAUUGGGACUGAGAUACGGCCCAGACCCCUACGGGAGGCAGCAGUGGGGAAUAUUGCACAAUGGGCGGAAGCCUGAUGCAGCAACGCCGCGUGCGGGACGACGGCCUUCGGGUUGUAAACCGCUUUCGCCUGUGACGAAGCGUGAGUGACGGUAAUGGGUAAAGAAGCACCGGCUAACUACGUG